Molecule: long non-coding RNA, 214 nt
Filed under: Brassica napus (rape)
Lineage: Eukaryota; Viridiplantae; Streptophyta; Magnoliopsida; Brassicales; Brassicaceae
Description: long non-coding RNA (BNAP_LNC016844)
Source: RNAcentral
UAAGGUUUAGAGUUAAGGGGUGGGGUUUAGGAUUUAGGGUUUAGGGUUUAGGGUUUAGAGUUUAGGGUUUAGAGUUUUGGGUUUAGGGUUUAGGGUUUAGAGUUUAGGGUUUUGGGUUUAGAGUUGAGAAAUGAGGUUUUGGGGGUAAGAUUUCAAAGUUUGAAAAAUAAAAAAAUUGAAAUUUUCAAAGGAUAAACUCAGAAAUGUGCUAUUU